This is a non-coding RNA of Punica granatum (pomegranate), 917 nucleotides long. Lineage: Eukaryota; Viridiplantae; Streptophyta; Magnoliopsida; Myrtales; Lythraceae. The record is from RefSeq and is a predicted model, not a curated record.
CCCCGAGAGAUUGUUCCUCGCACCGCCUAGAGCUGUGAGUUCAUGUGCAACAUUGGCUGUCAUCAUUCGGCCUCCACUCCACUGCCUUGCACUCUGCCUAGAUCCCUUCCACUGGGUUUGUGCCAUCUUCUUCCCAUAGCUUCUCGAUUUCUUGCCUCUUUCCUUGCUGCUUCCGUUUGCAGGUUGACCAUGGAGAGCCCAAUAGGAGCUCUUGACAUGGCCUAGUCACCCACGGUGAUCGCAGAUCGGUUUUCCUUCAGAAGUCCACCUCUGCCUCUGCCAAUUCUCACUCAAGUUCCUGGCCGCAAAGGCUCCCAACUCAGUUCCCCCAUCAGGCGUGUGUGCUGCGUCUCUAGAUCGAGCCAUAGCGUGUUGUUUUUCCUCCUCCGAAAUCAUCAGAUAAACCUUACUCAUUGUCGAUAAGGAUUCGAUUCUAAUGAUGUCAGACCACACGCCACAGAACUCAUCAUCCAAUCCCAUCAAAAAGUGGAGAUUUGGAUGCUCAGAUCGCGCAGCUUCAGCAGCUGUCACCAGCAGGCCCUAGUCCUCACUCCUGAGCUCUCCCUCUCUACUCACAGAUGCUGGCACCAUCCACCCUGCGAGGUCGUCAACGGCCUUAGUGGUCACCAGCGACCUCGUGGUGGUAGGUGUUGGUUGGCAGCGGGAUUAGCAGUGCAGAAGAGGUGGAUCGGGUUAUGUCAUAGAGGGUUCGACUCUGUGAGUGCUUGAAUUUUUAUUAUUCUUAUAAUAUUUCUAUUGAGUCAAUCGAGUCAUGUGCAAUGCACAUUAUAAUUGUAAUGGAAAUACUAACGAUAGAAGGUACAUCUUCCCCUAAUCAUGGUUGAGAGUGCAGAUGUUCCCAAAAAAUAAACUAGAGGAUAACCAACGUGGAUUGGUUCAAAGCGUUUUGACAUUUA